GUCGCAACCGGAAUCGCGACGGGACGACAAUCCAUAAAGGAAACAAUUUUGAGAAAGAGUUUGGAGUCGCCACCAUAGUUUAUUCUGGAAAACUACGGAAAAACCAUAAAAUGAUAAAGCACGGUCCACGAAAACCAAAGAUGGGGUUCGGGAGUCGGUUACGUGUAAGGAAGGUAUUAGCACCCUACAACGCCUGCCCAAAGGCAGUACCUUUAAUUAAAAUACGCGAAUAAAGAUGUGGUUUGCAAAAUGUUUAACUAUCCCAAAAAUUAAAACUCUAAAGAAACAAAAUACGUUUUUUUAUUUUUUGUGCCCGACAAGGAUUGACCUUGCUCCUACGUAUUCUCAAAGUGAGAAAUCAGGGUUACGUAGUUCUAGCUGAGAGAUUGUUUGUUUGUUUAAAAAAGGAUGUUUUAGUGUUUCGAUGUCUUUGUAAAAUGGGGAAAGGUUCCAGCACAAGGCCAACAGAAUGGUCGCACCUGUACUUAAACCUUUAAAAUGAAGUUUUGUCGAUUUUUUUUAAAAGAAGAAGAAAANNUUUUCAGCGCAAGGCCGACAGAAUGGUCGCACCUGUGCUUAAACUUUUAAAAUAAACUUCGUUGGGUUUUUAAAAGAAGGAAAAGUUUUCAGCGCAUGGCCGACAGAAUGGUCGCACCUGCGCUUAGACUUUAAAAAUAAUUUUAGUUUUUUUUUUUAAAAAGAAGGAAAAGUUUUCAGCGCAUGGCCGACAGAAUGGUCGCACCUGCGCUUAGACUUUAAAAAUAAUUUUAGUUUUUUUUUUUUUUAAAAGAAGGAAAAGUUUUCAGCGCAUGGCCG
RNAcentral lists this long non-coding RNA (816 nucleotides) under Vigna radiata. RNAcentral describes it as "long non-coding RNA (VRAD_LNC006799)". Lineage: Eukaryota; Viridiplantae; Streptophyta; Magnoliopsida; Fabales; Fabaceae. The record is from RNAcentral.